UUGCCUCAAGUGCCAUGAUCUUGAUGGGUCCUGGACCUAGUAGGCAAGUACUAGCAUAAUUAGCGUUCUUGUGUAAGAUUUCCCAGGUUAAUGAUAAACAUUAUAGUAGUAGUUGUUGUAACAGCAUUCUGCAUGAAUGCAUGGUCAUGUUGCAGUAUUGUGACGACUGCCUAAAUUUCUGUACCAUGCAGGUGCGACUAAAUCUGAGAUCUUUUGAACAGAUCUUGGUGUGUGCUGUGGGAAUGCGUAAAGGAGAGGUGCAGAUGAUCUCAAGAUUGGAGCUUUUUUUUUUUCUUCUGUUUUGGCGCACUGAAGAAAGACUGACUGACGUGAUAGAGAAGGGCAGGGGAGGAGAUGAUGGCAGAGAAAAACUGGUAUGUUUUCAGAUGCCUUUUUACCCUCGCAGUCGCAGGGCCGGCCUGCAUUGCUGUCAUGUUACUACUACUCUCUGUCAGGGUUAAAGAGUACACUCUCCUAUAGGAGUGAAGGGGGGAGACAAAGUGGAAGCAAGGCCCUCCUGAUUACCACGAGAAAGAGAAAGUGAGAGUUUGAUACUAGGCCCUAAAAAGGAUGAACACACACAGGUUACAAUGGUGUGAUCAG
This 603-nucleotide long non-coding RNA is filed under the name Oryza sativa (Asian cultivated rice). Its description in RNAcentral is "long non-coding RNA (OSAT_LNC000094)". The record is from RNAcentral. Lineage: Eukaryota; Viridiplantae; Streptophyta; Magnoliopsida; Poales; Poaceae.